Molecule: long non-coding RNA, 247 nt
Organism: Nycticebus coucang (slow loris)
Lineage: Eukaryota; Metazoa; Chordata; Mammalia; Primates; Lorisidae
Exons: 3
Source: RefSeq, a predicted model, not a curated record
UAGAUUCAUUCAAACUAACAAUGCAUAUGAGUUUGUCACAGUUUUAACAUAUGCAUUCUUCUUGCAGAUGGUUGAAAAAGAAGGUUAUCUUCAAAAAGCUAAAAUUGCAGAUGGAGGAAAGAAACUAAGUGGGAGAGUUGAUCCAGAAACAUAGCUUCUCAUUACAAUCUACCUCACUUUAAUGAUAAGUGAAAAGGAUUGAGAAGAGUGCUGUAGAUUGUGAUUUGCUACCUGGGACAAUUCUGUG